Molecule: non-coding RNA, 28 nt
Filed under: Homo sapiens (human)
Lineage: Eukaryota; Metazoa; Chordata; Mammalia; Primates; Hominidae
Source: RNAcentral
UGCAUUGCGAGACCAAUCUAGACGGCUC